GGGGAGAUGGCCGAGUGGUCAAUGGCAGCAGACUGUAAAUCUGCCGGCGUACGCCUACGGAGGUUCAAAUCCUUCUCUCCCCA
This 83-nucleotide transfer RNA is filed under the name Fidelibacterota bacterium. RNAcentral's name for it is "tRNA-Tyr". It matches the Rfam family "tRNA". Rfam says of the family: Transfer RNA (tRNA) molecules are approximately 80 nucleotides in length. The record is from RNAcentral. Lineage: Bacteria; Pseudomonadati; Fidelibacterota.